UACAUAGGGUGCAAGCGUUGUCCGGAUUUAUUGGGCGUAAAGAGCUCGUAGGCGGCACGGUAAGUCAGAAGUUAAAACGCAGAGCUCAGCUCUGCGUCGCUUUUGAUACUGCCGAGCUUGAGUAUGGCAGGGGAGAUUGGAAUUCCACGUGUAGCGGUGAAAUGCGCAGAUAUGUGGAGGAACACCAGUGGCGAAGGCGAAUCUCUGGGCCAUUACUGACGCUGAGGAGCGAAAGCGUGGGGAGCGAACAGG
Molecule: ribosomal RNA, 252 nt
Filed under: uncultured bacterium
Lineage: Bacteria
Description: partial 16S ribosomal RNA
Rfam family: Bacterial small subunit ribosomal RNA
Source: RNAcentral